Molecule: long non-coding RNA, 468 nt
Filed under: Homo sapiens (human)
Lineage: Eukaryota; Metazoa; Chordata; Mammalia; Primates; Hominidae
Description: long non-coding RNA NONHSAT152799.1
Source: RNAcentral
UGAAUAUUUAAAAUAUGGCUAGUGUGACUGGGAGCUGAAGUUUCCAUUUUAUUUAGACUUAACUAGCUCAAAUUUAAAUAGCCACAUGUAACUUAUGGCUUGGUAUUGGACAGCAUAGAACAUCUAUAGAAAAUCAAAAGCAGUGGGUAAAAAAUGAGGAAUCAGAAGAAGUAUUUCAGAAAUGUGAACUAUUGUCAGCUGUGAAGGUUCCAAGUGCCUUCUAGAUGGCGUAUUUAUACCUCAAAUCUCUGGAACUGGGUAGCAGAAGACGUUGCCUGGGGACUAUAUAAUUCAGCUCUGAUGGGGAUAUACAAUGACAAACAGAGGUAAAGUUAACCUCUACCUGUGGUUCAGGAGGAGGAGCGCCCCCUGCCUUCUGUCCCUAACCUGCUCAGAACAUCAUUGACAAUGAGCUGUCCAUGCUUGAGAAGAUCUGCAGAGCCAUGAAAAUAAAGAGAAGGGUCUUAC